Molecule: ribosomal RNA, 509 nt
Filed under: uncultured bacterium
Lineage: Bacteria
Description: partial 16S ribosomal RNA
Rfam family: Bacterial small subunit ribosomal RNA
Source: RNAcentral
ACGAACGCUGGCGGCGUGCUUAACACAUGCAAGUCGAACGAAGAGCGAUGGAAGCUUGCUUCUAUCAAUCUUAGUGGCGAACGGGUGAGUAACGCGUAAUCAACCUGCCCUUCAGAGGGGGACAACAGUUGGAAACGACUGCUAAUACCGCAUACGAUCUAAUCUCGGCAUCGAGGAUAGAUGAAAGGUGGCCUCUACAUGUAAGCUAUCACUGAAGGAGGGGAUUGCGUCUGAUUAGCUAGUUGGAGGGGUAACGGCCCACCAAGGCGAUGAUCAGUAGCCGGUCUGAGAGGAUGAACGGCCACAUUGGGACUGAGACACGGCCCAGACUCCUACGGGAGGCAGCAGUGGGGAAUCUUCCGCAAUGGACGAAAGUCUGACGAAGCAACGCCGCGUGAGUGAUGACGGCCUUCGGGUUGUAAAGCUCUGUUAAUCGGGACGAAAGGCCUUCUUGCGAAUAGUGAGAAGGAUUGACGGUACCGGAAUAGAAAGCCACGGCUAACUACGUG